Molecule: non-coding RNA, 74 nt
Organism: Scylla paramamosain (green mud crab)
Lineage: Eukaryota; Metazoa; Arthropoda; Malacostraca; Decapoda; Portunidae
Source: the annotation of a RefSeq genome assembly
GGCCUGUUAGCGCAGUGGUUUGUGCGUCCGACUCGCACUCGGGAGGGCCCAGGUUUGAAUCCCUGGUCAGGUCA